CAAAUAAACACUGUAAAACAACCACAGAACGAGUCACAAAAACAAGUUUCUGCCCAAUUCUUAUUUUUAAUCAUUGGUUUAUAUUGAAUAGGUGUUCAAUCCUGGUCGGGGUAAAGGCAGAUCCGGGAUCAUUGGGUGCGACUUCCUGGAUGGGAAGCACCAGGAGAUGGAAAGCAGAUGUUCUUCACCCGUUUGUGUAGGUUUGUGCACAUGUGACAACCAUGUUCUUCUCAGCAGAGCAUGAAAAAGGUGACACGCAGAGGAUGAGGCAGGUGGAGAGCUGUUAAAGAUAUGAAGGAUACGAGUGCUAUCACGGAAUUAGAAACGACAGCGUCAGGCUCUCUGGGUUGUUGUGCUGCCUCAUGCUUUUACUUGUAAUACAGGGUAUUGUUCACGGCUGCUCGUCUCUCUCUUCUUCCGUUAAAGAGGAGAUGCGUUUCCGACACUCAACUUACUAUUUUGGGGGAAAACGGUGGCAGGGUCUCAUUUUCCGCUCUCCGUUUCACUACGGGUCACCACUCGGGGUGUGUGGUAUACCAAGCUAGGCGUAUAUAGGCGGAAUUAGAUCGGGAUAGAGACGUUAUGUAAAGGACCAUCUGCAGGAGGGAUGAAAGAGGAAUAAAAGACAGGGAAGAGACAGGCUUUUACAGCCUUGUCUAAUUCAAACACCUACACACCAGCAGGGAGGUAUGUGUCUGCCGAAAGGUUGGCGUGAUUAUAAGCAAAAGGAGCAAAAAUAUUAAACCGAUUACAGACACUCUGAAACUAACAAUGAUCUAUUACAAGCACUUUGUGACCGUAACAACGUUAAGCCCCUUUGUAACGCGAUUCCAAAAUAAAACGAGCGAAAGGCUCGUUCUCCGGUCUGUCGAUCAACUAUUGCUCCAAUUUUGGCUCUGCCUUGCCUGGCUGGUACAGGCCUCUGGCUCCUCCCAGCUGCCUGUCUAAGUGUCCCUCUGGCUCUCUGCCCAACAGGCAGCAGGAAAUCAGAGCUCUCUGUCCAACGUCACCGAGCUGAAAUACUCCAGCGUUCAACUAAUCUGGCCGUACUCAUCCGUCCCCUCUUUUUCUCUGUCAAUCAUCCGUUCACUUUGGCUGCUUUGAGUCCUAAUGAUGCGUCUUCCCUCAUUCCCAGUCUGCCAUCAUUAUCCUCCCUACUGCUGUGUUAUUCUCAUACUCCACGAGCAUUCCCUGAUUCUUAUUCAGCUCAUCUGUGCUUUUCUGCCGUCUUUUCUUUUUUCUUCUCACGGCUGAGAUCUCUCCUCUCACGUCGCGCAUUCACGCCGCGAGGCGCACCGACUCACUCUUAUGUGUUUGCUUGUGAAUGGAGAGAAGACCAGGUUUUGUGGAGCAGAGGCUUUCACUAAAUCUUACAUCACAUGGACUUCUUGAAAGAAAAGCUGAGCGCAUUCAUAAUGUCAAGGCUGAAGAGCUGAAUGAAAAGCGAGGGGGAAAAACUGAAUACAUUCGAUUUGAUCUAUACACGUCGCCUAUACACUGCAAAGAGAAAAGCUAUACAAAUGGAAGCUGAACCACUGAAUUGGACACGUUUACCCAGAAACAGGUCAACACGCUUCUGUACUAAAAGCUCUUCAGUCUUCAGAGUGAUGGACAAGAUUUUACAUGGUCAAAACUCAUCUUCGGGAAAAGGCAAAAAUGGAGGACUUGAAUUUUUAUAGUUUUACUUAAAAUCUUCCUGAAUAGUGUAGAAAAGAAUCGUCUUACAAGGGUGUCUGACAUUUUUCACUUCCUAGAGAUGACCAGACAACUUGUGUAGCAUCCCAUGUUUUAGAUCGAUCAUCCUACAUUGUACAAGUGGAAGCCCAUUCUCUCAUGUCUGGGAUUUGCCCUUGUCCACCCUUCAUUUCUUCCCUGCUUUAAUCUUCAAGGACACUGCGGCUCGUUCUUGUGCUUUGCUUUUAAAUGGAGAUCACCAAUAGGAAAGGAGUGUCCUGUAGACAAUGAUCCCACCGAAUGACAAAAGAACGUGCGGACAUUUCUGAAGGACAUCCGAGUGAGCCUGGUUAAAAUAUGCCAAAGCUGCAAUUUUGAAAUGUGAUGUCUGAACCACGUCUGGACUUUUGACAAAGAGAAACUAAUCCUGAACGUGCUGCCUGAUUUGCUCUCAACACAAUGAAACUGGGCACUACCUGCAAGUAGCGUGAGAACACUCGGCCUCAGGCAUUUACAUCCUCUGUACUGGCUAUGGAGGAAAAACACCGCCGGCCAGUUAUAACCGGUCUUGAGGUCAAAAAUAACUUGGUCAAUAUUUUCCAUUUUCCACCUUGUUUGUUGUUAUUCCAAACCGACAUUCAUUUUUCUCACCACCAGAUGGCAGACGAGGGUAAUAGUACAGGGUGUCCCGAAAUUCUUCCUAUAUUAUUGUGGAAAUAAACACUUUUUCCAUAAAA
Molecule: long non-coding RNA, 2411 nt
Organism: Silurus meridionalis
Lineage: Eukaryota; Metazoa; Chordata; Actinopteri; Siluriformes; Siluridae
Exons: 3
Source: RefSeq, a predicted model, not a curated record